AGAGCGAACGCUGGCGGCAGGCCUAACACAUGCAAGUCGAGCGCCCGUAGCAAUACGGGAGCGGCAGACGGGAUAGUAACACGUGGGAACGCGCCCUUCGGUUCGGAAUAACUCAGGGAAACUUGAGCUAAUACCGGAUACGCCCUUACGGGGAAAGAUUUAUUGCCGAAGGAACGGCCCGCGUCCGAUUAGCUAGUUGGUGAGGUAAUGGCUCACCAAGGCGACGAUCGGUAGCUGGUCUGAGAGGAUGACCAGCAUCACUGGGACUGAGACACGGCCCAGACUCCUACGGGAGGCAGCAGUGGGGAAUAUUGAACAAUGGGCGCAAGCCUGAUCCAGCCAUGCCGCGUGGAUGAUGAAGGCCUUAGGGUUGUAAAGUCCUUUUAACGGGGAAGAUAAUGACGGUACCCGUAGAAUAAGCCCCGGCUAACUUCGCGCCAGCAGCCGC
Molecule: ribosomal RNA, 448 nt
Filed under: uncultured bacterium
Lineage: Bacteria
Description: SSU rRNA
Rfam family: Bacterial small subunit ribosomal RNA
Source: RNAcentral